Molecule: ribosomal RNA, 265 nt
Filed under: uncultured bacterium
Lineage: Bacteria
Description: partial 16S ribosomal RNA
Rfam family: Bacterial small subunit ribosomal RNA
Source: RNAcentral
GUCCUGGCCGUAACGAUGUCCACUAGAUGGCGGCGGCUCUGACGUCGUCGCGAUCGCAGCAAAGUGCUAAGUGGACCGCCUGGGAAGUACGGUCGCAAGGCUAAACUCAAAGGAAUUGACGGGGGCUCACACAAGCGGUGGAGCAUGUGGUUCAAUUCGAAGCAACGCGCAGAACCUUACCUGGGCUUGACAUACCCGGAUUAUCCCCAUGAAAGUGGGUAGGCCCCGCAAGGGGACAACGGGACAGGUGUUGCAUGGCUGUCGU